GGGACACGUGGUAUCCUGUCUGAAUAUGGGGGGACCAUCCUCCAAGGCUAAAUACUCCUGACUGACCGAUAGUGAACCAGUACCGUGAGGGAAAGGCGAAAAGAACCCCGGCGAGGGGAGUGAAAAAGAACCUGAAACCGUGUACGUACAAGCAGUGGGAGCCUCUUAAUGGGGUGACUGCGUACCUUUUGUAUAAUGGGUCAGCGACUUAUAUUCUGUAGCAAGGUUAACCGAAUAGGGGAGCCGAAGGGAAACCGAGUCUUAACUGGGCGUUAAGUUGCAGGGUAUAGACCCGAAACCCGGUGAUCUAGCCAUGGGCAGGUUGAAGGUUGGGUAACACUAACUGGAGGACCGAACCGACUAAUGUUGAAAAAUUAGCGGAUGACUUGUGGCUGGGGGUGAAAGGCCAAUCAAACCGGGAGAUAGCUGGUUCUCCCCGAAAGCUAUUUAGGUAGCGCCUCGUGAAUUCAUCUCCGGGGGUAGAGCACUGUUUCGGCAAGGGGGUCAUCCCGACUUACCAACCCGAUGCAAACUGCGAAUACCGGAGAAUGUUAUCACGGGAGACACACGGCGGGUGCUAACGUCCGUCGUGAAGAGGGAAACAACCCAGACCGCCAGCUAAGGUCCCAAAGUCAUGGUUAAGUGGGAAACGAUGUGGGAAGGCCCAGACAGCCAGGAUGUUGGCUUAGAAGCAGCCAUCAUUUAAAGAAAGCGUAAUAGCUCACUGGUCGAGUCGGCCUGCGCGGAAGAUGUAACGGGGCUAAACCAUGCACCGAAGCUGCGGCAGCGACACUAUGUGUUGUUGGGUAGGGGAGCGUUCUGUAAGCCUGUGAAGGUGGCCUGUGAGGGUUGCUGGAGGUAUCAGAAGUGCGAAUGCUGACAUAAGUAACGAUAAAGCGGGUGAAAAGCCCGCUCGCCGGAAGACCAAGGGUUCCUGUCCAACGUUAAUCGGGGCAGGGUGAGUCGACCCCUAAGGCGAGGCCGAAAGGCGUAGUCGAUGGGAAACAGGUUAAUAUUCCUGUACUUGGUGUUACUGCGAAGGGGGGACGGAGAAGGCUAUGUUGGCCGGGCGACGGUUGUCCCGGUUUAAGCGUGUAGGCUGGUUUUCCAGGCAAAUCCGGAAAACCAAGGCUGAGGCGUGAUGACGAGGCACUACGGUGCUGAAGCGACAAAUGCCCUGCUUCCAGGAAAAGCCUCUAAGCAUCAGGUAACAUCAAAUCGUACCCCAAACCGACACAGGUGGUCAGGUAGAGAAUACCAAGGCGCUUGAGAGAACUCGGGUGAAGGAACUAGGCAAAAUGGUGCCGUAACUUCGGGAGAAGGCACGCUGAUAUGUAGGUGAAGCGACUUGCUCGUGGAGCUGAAAUCAGUCGAAGAUACCAGCUGGCUGCAACUGUUUAUUAAAAACACAGCACUGUGCAAACACGAAAGUGGACGUAUACGGUGUGACGCCUGCCCGGUGCCGGAAGGUUAAUUGAUGGGGUUAGCGGUAACGCGAAGCUCUUGAUCGAAGCCCCGGUAAACGGCGGCCGUAACUAUAACGGUCCUAAGGUAGCGAAAUUCCUUGUCGGGUAAGUUCCGACCUGCACGAAUGGCGUAAUGAUGGCCAGGCUGUCUCCACCCGAGACUCAGUGAAAUUGAACUCGCUGUGAAGAUGCAGUGUACCCGCGGCAAGACGGAAAGACCCCGUGAACCUUUACUAUAGCUUGACACUGAACAUUGAGCCUUGAUGUGUAGGAUAGGUGGGAGGCUUUGAAGUGUGGACGCCAGUCUGCAUGGAGCCGACCUUGAAAUACCACCCUUUAAUGUUUGAUGUUCUAACGUUGGCCCGUAAUCCGGGUUGCGGACAGUGUCUGGUGGGUAGUUUGACUGGGGCGGUCUCCUCCUAAAGAGUAACGGAGGAGCACGAAGGUUGGCUAAUCCUGGUCGGACAUCAGGAGGUUAGUGCAAUGGCAUAAGCCAGCUUGACUGCGAGCGUGACGGCGCGAGCAGGUGCGAAAGCAGGUCAUAGUGAUCCGGUGGUUCUGAAUGGAAGGGCCAUCGCUCAACGGAUAAAAGGUACUCCGGGGAUAACAGGCUGAUACCGCCCAAGAGUUCAUAUCGACGGCGGUGUUUGGCACCUCGAUGUCGGCUCAUCACAUCCUGGGGCUGAAGUAGGUCCCAAGGGUAUGGCUGUUCGCCAUUUAAAGUGGUACGCGAGCUGGGUUUAGAACGUCGUGAGACAGUUCGGUCCCUAUCUGCCGUGGGCGCUGGAGAACUGAGGGGGGCUGCUCCUAGUACGAGAGGACCGGAGUGGACGCAUCACUGGUGUUCGGGUUGUCAUGCCAAUGGCACUGCCCGGUAGCUAAAUGCGGAAGAGAUAAGUGCUGAAAGCAUCUAAGCACGAAACUUGCCCCGAGAUGAGUUCUCCCUGACUCCUUGAGAGUCCUGAAGGAACGUUGAAGACGACGACGUUGAUAGGCCGGGUGUGUAAGCGCAGCGAUGCGUUGAGCUAACCGGUACUAAUGAACCGUGAGGCUUAACCUU
This 2526-nucleotide ribosomal RNA is filed under the name Escherichia coli. RNAcentral's name for it is "partial 23S ribosomal RNA". It matches the Rfam family "Bacterial large subunit ribosomal RNA", at positions 419 to 2925 of the family's 2925-position model. The record is from RNAcentral. Lineage: Bacteria; Pseudomonadati; Pseudomonadota; Gammaproteobacteria; Enterobacterales; Enterobacteriaceae.